Molecule: unclassified non-coding RNA, 226 nt
Filed under: Hevea brasiliensis (rubber tree)
Lineage: Eukaryota; Viridiplantae; Streptophyta; Magnoliopsida; Malpighiales; Euphorbiaceae
Source: RNAcentral
GUCUGCUUUUACCCUGUUGUUAAUGGUUUUGCAAAAUUGAAGUUAGAUUGUUCUUUAUAAGCUUAUUGAUUCUUAACAUGUUAAAGAGCAUAAUUUUAUUGAUUGGUUGUGGGGUUCACUCCGUUGUACAUGAUAAAUUGUUUGAUUUUGUUGAUUCAAGGAGGAAAGAGCAGUAUUUUGCCACUGUAGUUCAAGUCUUGUGUAUGUGUAGUUGCCUUGUGCAAAU